Molecule: ribosomal RNA, 495 nt
Filed under: fungal endophyte sp. DM199
Lineage: Eukaryota; Fungi
Description: eukaryotic LSU rRNA
Rfam family: Eukaryotic large subunit ribosomal RNA
Source: RNAcentral
UUGUAAUUUGUAGAGGAUGCUUUUGGUGCGGUGCCUUCCGAGUUCCCUGGAACGGGACGCCUUAGAGGGUGAGAGCCCCGUACGGUUGGACGCCUAGCCUCUGUAAAGCUCCUUCGACGAGUCGAGUAGUUUGGGAAUGCUGCUCUAAAUGGGAGGUAUAUUUCUUCUAAAGCUAAAUACUGGCCAGAGACCGAUAGCGCACAAGUAGAGUGAUCGAAAGAUGAAAAGCACUUUGAAAAGAGGGUUAAAUAGCACGUGAAAUUGUUGAAAGGGAAGCGUUUAUCACCAGACUUUUUCUAGGGGGAUCAUCCGGUGUUCUCACCGGUGCACUUCCCCUAGUUGAGGCCAGCAUCGGUUUUCGGAGGGGGAUAAAAGUUUCGGGAAUGUGACUCCCCCGGGAGUGUUAUAGCCCGUUACAUAAUACCCUUCUGGGGACCGAGGUUCGCGCAUCUGCAAGGAUGCUGGCAUAAUGGUGAUCAACGACCCGUCUUGAAA